UACGGGGGGGGCAAGCGUUGUUCGGAAUUACUGGGCGUAAAGGGCGCGUAGGCGGCCUUCUAAGUCAGACGUGAAAUCCCCCGGCUUAACCUGGGAACUGCGUCUGAUACUGGAGGGCUUGAGUGCGGGAGAGGGAUGUGGAAUUCCAGGUGUAGCGGUGAAAUGCGUAGAUAUCUGGAGGAACACCGGUGGUGAAGGCGGCAUCCUGGACCGACACUGACGCUGAGGCGCGAAAGCUAGGGUAGCAAACGGG
RNAcentral lists this ribosomal RNA (253 nucleotides) under uncultured bacterium. RNAcentral's name for it is "partial 16S ribosomal RNA". It matches the Rfam family "Bacterial small subunit ribosomal RNA", at positions 524 to 776 of the family's 1533-position model. The record is from RNAcentral.